CACAGUGCGGCCGGACUUGGCGACCUGCUUAUUGCUAAACCCGCGACCCAAAUCCCACACCAGGUGUCUGACUCCGUUGAUGCAGUGGAAGGUGAACGGGAGUGCAGCGGUCGUCUUCAGCAGGACCUUCGCAGCGACGGGAAGGAUUCCAAAAGAUGCCGCCAUGGACGUGGAGUCAAUGUGCCAACCCAGCCAGGGGGAAGCAGCAUAUGCUGCAAAAAAGAGAUAAAACGGCCCCGAAAGUAGCAGUCCGGUGUUGCGGUGCAAGAGGGAGAGCACGGAAGUGAUCUGUGGUCGGUAGAUGGAUAUGUGCGGCGAGACGGGCCGGUUCAGGCGCUGUUUGCGAAGGAGAUCAUUGGGAUCUGAGGGUUUCGAGGACCGGGCAGCUUGCGCAAUUGGGCUGUUGACGAUGUAUCAUUAGAAAAACCGAGCGCGCGCUGCGUUGGAGUCCCGCUGAAGUUUCGCGGGGCUGAUAGGGGGAUAUCGACGAGGGAAAGUAAGAGGUUGAUUUACUGAAGUCCGACCAAAUGAGCUGGCCGCUGCGAGGGAUUGGGGACGUAUGUAUCAGCGGUGUCCCGAUAUCCAUUGCGUGAGUUCAACAUACAUCGGCGCAGCGAGUGCUGCAUAAUUUUUUGGGAAAUCAUUGCGCGCAGACUGGCGAGAGAAAGCAGUCAAGGAUAUGUAGAAGAGAGGUUUCGGACGAGGCUUGGACCCGAGGCUUGGACGCAGGGCCUGCAGCAGCUUGCUUGCUCUGGAA
RNAcentral lists this small RNA (757 nucleotides) under Histoplasma capsulatum var. duboisii H88. RNAcentral describes it as "Histoplasma capsulatum H88 hypothetical RNA". The record is from RNAcentral. Lineage: Eukaryota; Fungi; Ascomycota; Eurotiomycetes; Onygenales; Ajellomycetaceae.